GACGAACGCUGGCGGCGUGCUUAACACAUGCAAGUCGAACGGAAAGGCCCUGCUUUUGUGGGGUGCUCGAGUGGCGAACGGGUGAGUAACACGUGAGUAACCUGCCCUUGACUUUGGGAUAACUUCAGGAAACUGGGCUAAUACCGGAUAGGAGCUCCUGCUGCAUGGUGGGGGUUGGAAAGUUUCGGCGGUUGGGGAUGGACUCGCGGCUUAUCAGCUUGUUGGUGGGGUGGUGGCUUACCAAGGCUUUGACGGGUAGCCGGCCUGAGAGGGUGACCGGCCACAUUGGGACUGAGAUACGGCCCAGACUCCUACGGGAGGCAGCAGUGGGGAAUAUUGCACAAUGGGCGGAAGCCUGAUGCAGCAACGCCGCGUGCGGGAUGACGGCCUUCGGGUUGUAAACCGCUUUCGCCUGUGACGAAGCGUGAGUGACGGUAAUGGGUAAAGAAGCACCGGCUAACUACGUG
RNAcentral lists this ribosomal RNA (467 nucleotides) under uncultured bacterium. Its description in RNAcentral is "partial 16S ribosomal RNA". It matches the Rfam family "Bacterial small subunit ribosomal RNA", at positions 28 to 507 of the family's 1533-position model. The record is from RNAcentral.